GGUUUCUCUGUGUAGCCCUGGUUGUCCUGGGACACACUCUGUAGACCAGGCUGGCCUCAAGCUCACAGAGAUCCACCUGCCUCUGCCUCCCGAGUGCUGGGAUUAAAGGCGUGCGCCACCAACACCCG
RNAcentral lists this microRNA precursor (128 nucleotides) under Mesocricetus auratus (golden hamster). RNAcentral's name for it is "miRNA (ENSMAUG00000001876.1)". The record is from RNAcentral. Lineage: Eukaryota; Metazoa; Chordata; Mammalia; Rodentia; Cricetidae.